This 85-nucleotide transfer RNA is filed under the name Felis catus (domestic cat). It matches the Rfam family "tRNA". From Rfam's summary of the family: Transfer RNA (tRNA) molecules are approximately 80 nucleotides in length. Lineage: Eukaryota; Metazoa; Chordata; Mammalia; Carnivora; Felidae. The record is from Rfam by way of RNAcentral.
ACCUGGGUGGCUCAGUUGAUUGAGCAUCUGACUUUGGCUCAGGUCAUGAUCUCAUGGUUCGUGGGUUCAAGCCCCAUGUCAGGCU